UGGGGAUGACGUCAAAUCAGCACGGCCCUUACGUCCAGGGCUACACACGUGCUACAAUGGCCGGUAACAAAGGGCAGCUACCUGGUGACAGGAUGCUAAUCUACAAAAGCCGGUCUCAGUUCGGAUCGGAGUCUGCAACCCGACUCCGUGAAGCUGGAAUCGCUAGUAAUCGUGAAUCAGAAUGUCACGGUGAAUACGUUCCCGGGCCUU
Molecule: ribosomal RNA, 210 nt
Filed under: uncultured Halomonas sp.
Lineage: Bacteria; Pseudomonadati; Pseudomonadota; Gammaproteobacteria; Oceanospirillales; Halomonadaceae
Description: partial 16S ribosomal RNA
Rfam family: Bacterial small subunit ribosomal RNA
Source: RNAcentral